UUUCGCGGCCCUUAUAGCUUGUUGGUGGGGUAACGGCCUACCAAGGCGAUUACGGGUAGCCGGCCUGAGAGGGCGACCGGCCACACUGGGACUGAGACACGGCCCAGACUCCUGCGGGAGGCAGCAGUGGGGAAUAUUGCGCAAUGGGCGAAAGCCUGACGCAGCGACGCCGCGUGGGGGAUGACGGCCUUCGGGUUGUAAACCUCUUUUACCACCAACGCAGGCUCCGGGUUCUCUCGGGGUUGACGGUAGGUGGGGAAUAAGGACCGGCUAACUACGUGCCAGCAGCCGCGGUAAUACGUAGGGUCCGAGCGUUGUCCGGAAUUAUUGGGCGUAAAGAGCUCGUAGGCGGCGUGUCGCGUCUGCUGUGAAAGACCGGGGCUUAACUCCGGUUCUGCAGUGGAUACGGGCAUGCUAGAGGUAGGUAGGGGAGACUGGAAUUCCUGGUGUAGCGGUGAAAUGCGCAGAUAUCAGGAGGAACACCGGUGGCGAAGGCGGGUCUCUGGGCCUUACCUGACGCUGAGGAGCGAAAGCAUGGGGAGCGAACAGGAUUAGAUACCCUGGUAGUCCAUGCCGUAAACGUUGGGCGCUAGGUGUGGGGACUCCACGUCCG
This 613-nucleotide ribosomal RNA is filed under the name Nocardiopsis valliformis. Its description in RNAcentral is "bacterial SSU rRNA". It matches the Rfam family "Bacterial small subunit ribosomal RNA", at positions 229 to 841 of the family's 1533-position model. Lineage: Bacteria; Bacillati; Actinomycetota; Actinomycetes; Streptosporangiales; Nocardiopsidaceae. The record is from RNAcentral.